AAGUCACAACAGGAAUGCCUCUUGAUCCACGCCUUUAUUGAUUUCUCAAUCGACCACCUGCUCGUCGCUUCUUUAUUGUCCUCCCUUUGCCGAGCUCUCCUGUCGGGUAGAGAUGCUUCGCCUCUCUCUUCGUCGCUGGUGCGCCGCCGCGGCCAGUGGCUCGUCGACCUCAACGACUCAUGGAUCGCCGCCAGCGACCAUGUUGCCUGACUUCUAUGGCAAGAGCUUCUCUGUCUCACCGCGAGCGUGGGCCCAGAUCACGCGAAAAAACUCAGAGGAGGGAUUUACAAACGAUGCGCGCUACCUUCGCCUCGCCAUCGACUCGGGCGGCUGCCACGGUUACGUCUACAAGUUUUCCUUUGAAAAGAACGAAGAGUUUAAUUGCGAGGGGGAUGUGGCUAUCGCAGAGGUGGACGUGGUAUCGCCCAGCGACGAAGCGUUCACUGGCGCGCAGCCGUCGCCGCGCGUAGUCGUGGACACUCUCAGCGCGUCGAAACUCGAGAACGCAACGCUGGACUACCACAGCGAGCUGAAGGGAUCCGCAUUUGUGGUGGUGGGCAAUGAGUUAGUCGACGAGUCCUGCGCCUGCGCGAUGUCCUUCUCUAUUAGAAAAAAGACACGUCCGUCGGCGGCGUCAUCAAGCGCGCGAGGCGCGUCUUCUGGAGCUGGCGGUGACCACGGAGGGAGCGGCGCCGCUGCUCCGCCGGCAGGUAGCUCUUUGGCGGCGAAUGCGCGUCCGAUUUCCCGCCGUUCUGCAACGCGCGCUACCUCAUGAAAACGAUUUAAAUCACGCGUACCUCGAGCGUGUGUGCGUGUGUGCCACCUGCAGAGUUUGUGCAUCUUCCUCUCGGGUGUCGAUCCCCUCCACCCUCCCCCACGCACAGCGAUGCAGGGAGGCGUCAGUGACAUCCUUAUAUUUCGACAUGUCUCCGAAACGAAAAUACAAACAUAUAAACACACAUACACACUUGUUUUGCGUAUUGGGGGCAUUCGUACACAGUGCUGAGUUACGUGAAACGACGCCGCUCGCACCUCUCGGUGCGUUAUUCCUUCGUUUCCUUUUCUUCGUUAUUCACAUGAUUGCGCACGCACACACACGCACACACACACACACACACGCGCAAGCUGACUCGAGGUUUUGCUCACGUAAGCGUCUGUGUUAUGCUGUGCCUACAUACGAAUGAGAACUCUCUGCCAUCCCCGUUGGCGCACAGGCACUUCUCUUGUAGCACUCCAAUACUCGAACAACCCUUCCCCUCCUCUUCCUGGCUACUUUGUGCCCCUCGCCCUCCCCUCAACCCACCCCUUAUUUCGCUUUCCAUUUUGGCCUCUUGCGAAAG
RNAcentral lists this unclassified non-coding RNA (1340 nucleotides) under Leishmania donovani. RNAcentral's name for it is "gene:LdHU3.35.1780(CDS-product:Iron-sulfur_assemb ly_protein_2_putative)". Lineage: Eukaryota; Euglenozoa; Kinetoplastea; Trypanosomatida; Trypanosomatidae. The record is from RNAcentral.